This is a long non-coding RNA of Lolium perenne, 897 nucleotides long. RefSeq lists it as uncharacterized. NCBI's taxonomy places the organism in Eukaryota, Viridiplantae, Streptophyta, Magnoliopsida, Poales, Poaceae. The record is from RefSeq and is a predicted model, not a curated record.
UCAGUACAGAGCAUGAAAAGGUUAAGGAAGAUCGAUUUUGGCCUCACUUCAAAGGCGCUAUUGGUGCUAUAGAUGGAUCACAUGUACCUUGUUCACUUCCUGCAGAGGAUGUGGUUAACCACACAUGUCGCCAUGGUUAUACAUCUCAAAAUGUGCUUGCCAUAUGUGACUUUGACAUGAGAUUUACCUUUGUUGUUGCUGGUUGGCCGGGCUCUGCACAUGACACAAGAAUCCUACAUCAUGCAUUAGCAAAUUUUUCUUCAUUUCCUGUACCUCCUAAAGGAAAGUACUACCUUGUUGAUUCUGGUUAUCCAAACCGAAUUGGAUACCUUGCUCCUUUCAAAGGGAGUACAUACCCCUCCCGGAGUUUCGUCUUUGCCGUGGGCGUGCACUGCAAGGGAAGUAUGAGAUAUUUAAUUUCUUCCAUUCGUCUCUUCGCAAUGUAAUUGAGCGUGCAUUUGGAGUCUUGAACCAAAAGUGGCGUAUAUUGAAGGCAAUGCCAAGUUUCUCAACUCGUACACAGAAGCAUAUCAUUCUUGCUUGCAUAGCAUUGCACAAUUUAUUCGAGAUAGCAAAUUGCGUGACCAGGAGUUCGAUAAAUGUGAUGAAGAUGAGGAUUAUCUACCUGGAGCAGCACGUGCAUCACCACAAACACAAGGGGAUGACGAGCUGGAAGUGAAUAAUGAGGAAUCCAUGGACGACGUUCGGAGUAGGAUCGCCGAUGCUUUGCUUAUGGCGAGGGAGGAAUAGUAUAUCUAUGUUGUUGGAGAAAAUUAUUAUGUGAACCAUGUCUUUUGCUUGCGUUUAUCUUUUCGAAGUAUUUGAGGAUAUUAUUUUAUAUUGAUAUUAUCUAUAAGUAUGGAUCAUUAUGAAGAAAAUACAAAUAUUCUCCCAAAA